CAUCUCCUGCUCCUCCUGCUCCUCCUCAUCAGCGACUCAGAGGAAUAAAUCAUCUGUGUGUUUGUGUCGGAGUUCUGAGGAGGAGGAGGAGGAGGAGGAGGAGGAG
This is a non-coding RNA of Xyrichtys novacula (pearly razorfish), 106 nucleotides long. NCBI's taxonomy places the organism in Eukaryota, Metazoa, Chordata, Actinopteri, Labriformes, Labridae. The record is from the annotation of a GenBank genome assembly.